UACGUAGGGUGCAAGCGUUAAUCGGAAUUACUGGGCGUAAAGCGUGCGCAGGCGGCUUUGCAAGACAGAUGUGAAAUCCCCGGGCUCAACCUGGGAACUGCAUUUGUGACUGCAAGGCUGGAGUACGGCAGAGGGGGGUGGAAUUCCGCGUGUAGCAGUGAAAUGCGUAGAGAUGCGGAGGAACACCGAUGGCGAAGGCAGCCCCCUGGGCUAACACUGACGCUCAGGCACGAAAGCGUGGGGAGCAAACAGG
RNAcentral lists this ribosomal RNA (253 nucleotides) under uncultured bacterium. RNAcentral describes it as "partial 16S ribosomal RNA". It matches the Rfam family "Bacterial small subunit ribosomal RNA", at positions 524 to 776 of the family's 1533-position model. The record is from RNAcentral.